CGUUCCCGGGUCUUGUACACACCGCCCGUCACACCAUGGGAGCGGGUUUUACCAGAAGUAGGUAGCUUAACCGCAAGGAGGGCGCUUACCACGGUAGGAUUCGUGACUGGGGUGAAGUCGUAAACAAGGUACC
RNAcentral lists this ribosomal RNA (133 nucleotides) under uncultured bacterium. Its description in RNAcentral is "partial 16S ribosomal RNA". It matches the Rfam family "Bacterial small subunit ribosomal RNA", at positions 1369 to 1500 of the family's 1533-position model. The record is from RNAcentral.